GCACCUGUAGCUUAGUGGAUAGAGCGUCUGUCUCCUAAGAUGAAGGUCGUAGGUUCGACCCCUGCCUGGCGCA
This is a non-coding RNA of Nicotiana sylvestris (wood tobacco), 73 nucleotides long. The record is from Rfam. NCBI's taxonomy places the organism in Eukaryota, Viridiplantae, Streptophyta, Magnoliopsida, Solanales, Solanaceae.